RNAcentral lists this transfer RNA (84 nucleotides) under Felis catus (domestic cat). It matches the Rfam family "tRNA". Rfam says of the family: Transfer RNA (tRNA) molecules are approximately 80 nucleotides in length. Their secondary structure includes four short double-helical elements and three loops (D, anti-codon, and T loops). Further hydrogen bonds mediate the characteristic L-shaped molecular structure. tRNAs have two regions of fundamental functional importance: the anti-codon, which is responsible for specific mRNA codon recognition, and the 3' end, to which the tRNAs corresponding amino acid is attached (by aminoacyl-tRNA synthetases). tRNAs cope with the degeneracy of the genetic code in two manners: having more than one tRNA (with a specific anti-codon) for a particular amino acid; and 'wobble' base-pairing, i.e. permitting non-standard base-pairing at the 3rd anti-codon position. The record is from Rfam by way of RNAcentral. Lineage: Eukaryota; Metazoa; Chordata; Mammalia; Carnivora; Felidae.
GCCUGGGUGGCUUAUUUGUUAAGCAUCUGACUUUGGCUCAGGUCAUGAUCUCACGGGUCAUGAGUUCGAGUCCCACUUCAGGUG